GUGAGUGUAGCUCAGUAGUAGAGUGCAUGCCUAGCAUGCAUGACGUCCUGGGUUCAAUCCCCUGUACUUCCA
RNAcentral lists this transfer RNA (72 nucleotides) under Camelus ferus (Wild Bactrian camel). It matches the Rfam family "tRNA". From Rfam's summary of the family: Transfer RNA (tRNA) molecules are approximately 80 nucleotides in length. Their secondary structure includes four short double-helical elements and three loops (D, anti-codon, and T loops). Lineage: Eukaryota; Metazoa; Chordata; Mammalia; Artiodactyla; Camelidae. The record is from Rfam by way of RNAcentral.